CCUACGGGAGGCUGCAGUGAGGAAUAUUGGUCAAUGGGCGCGAGCCUGAACCAGCCAAGUCGCGUGAAGGAUGACUGCCCUACGGGUUGUAAACUUCUUUUAUAAAGGAAUAAAGUGAGGCACGUGUGCCUUUUUGUAUGUACUUUAUGAAUAAGGAUCGGCUAACUCCGUGCCAGCAGCCGCGGUAAUACGGAGGAUCCGAGCGUUAUCCGGAUUUAUUGGGUUUAAAGGGAGCGUAGAUGGGUUGUUAAGUCAGUUGUGAAAGUUUGCGGCUCAACCGUAAGAGUGCAAUUGAUACUGGCAGCCUUGAGUACAGUUGAGGUAGGCGGAAUUCGUGGUGUAGCGGUGAAAUGCGUAGAUAUCACGAAGAACUCCGAUUGCGAAGGCAGGUUACUAAACUGCCACUGACAUUGAUGCUCGAAAGUGUGGGUAUCAAACAGGAUUAGAUACCCGGGUAGUC
RNAcentral lists this ribosomal RNA (460 nucleotides) under uncultured bacterium. Its description in RNAcentral is "partial 16S ribosomal RNA". It matches the Rfam family "Bacterial small subunit ribosomal RNA", at positions 338 to 795 of the family's 1533-position model. The record is from RNAcentral.